Molecule: non-coding RNA, 69 nt
Organism: Podarcis lilfordi (Lilford's wall lizard)
Lineage: Eukaryota; Metazoa; Chordata; Lepidosauria; Squamata; Lacertidae
Source: the annotation of a GenBank genome assembly
GCCGUGGCUCAAUGGUAGAGCAUCUGUCUUGCAUGCAAAACAUCCCAGGUUCAAUCUCCACCAUCUGCA